UCUUUGUACCCGAUUUUUGGUGUUCCAUUUGCGAAAUCUUGCAAUCGGAAUGAAAAGGGAAUCAGGUGAAAAUCCUGAACAGACCCGCUGCUGUAAGCUCCAUUGAUCAUCCUUGUACAAUACUCAUUUCCACUGUUCCGAUUUCCGGAAUGGGAAGGACGUACCAAGGAGGAGUAAGUCAGAAGACCUGCCAAAGAAAUUCGUUCAAA
RNAcentral lists this non-coding RNA (209 nucleotides) under Bacteroidia bacterium. The record is from RNAcentral. Lineage: Bacteria; Pseudomonadati; Bacteroidota; Bacteroidia.